AAAGUCGUAACAAGGUUUCCGUAGGUGAACCUGCGGAAGGAUCAUUAACACGUAUCCAAACGUUAAAACCCCCCUGUGAACCUUUAUUAGUGCGCCCCGCCGGGUGAUCGAGUCGUAGGAUGUGGUAAAUCAUGGUUAGUAACGGGAGUUCUUCUCGGACUAUCUUCGGAAUUGAUUCAGGACCUACGAUUGGCUGGCGAAAUGCGAGCUAGAAGCGACUGGCCGGCCCAAGCAAUAACUUGUUCUGAAAGUGUCGUUUAUUGUGUAAGCUGGACGCUGUAAUGUGCACUGGAGGCCGACACGGCCGGUGCCCAGUCCCGGGCCCACCUCGUGGCUCCCUACCACAACGAUGUCUAACUUAGUGCCUGCGAGGGUCAAGUGGCCUGCCGCGGCUUUAACGAACAACUGUUAACAAUGGAUAUCUUGGUUCUC
This 432-nucleotide unclassified non-coding RNA is filed under the name Ascomycota sp. RNAcentral's name for it is "partial contains small subunit ribosomal RNA, internal transcribed spacer 1, and 5.8S ribosomal RNA". The stretch from base 1 to 47 matches the Rfam family "Eukaryotic small subunit ribosomal RNA", at positions 1785 to 1831 of the family's 1831-position model. Lineage: Eukaryota; Fungi; Ascomycota. The record is from RNAcentral.